AUCACUACCCAUUACAUGUUAUCCCAUAAUACCCAUUAAUCGACGAUAAACCCCCCUUACCUGAGUUAAUCCGGCAAAGUCCUUCAACUUCAAGCUUUUCCUUUUCUCCAACCCUUGUUCUCUUGCUCUUUGCCCUUUUCCCUUUUCCACUUUUGAGUCGUUUCUCUGUUUUCACGUGAAAACCUCUUUUUACCAAAUGGGACUCUUUUU
This 210-nucleotide long non-coding RNA is filed under the name Lathyrus oleraceus (garden pea). RNAcentral's name for it is "Pisum sativum (pea) long non-coding RNA (PSAT_LNC027836)". The record is from RNAcentral. Lineage: Eukaryota; Viridiplantae; Streptophyta; Magnoliopsida; Fabales; Fabaceae.